Molecule: ribosomal RNA, 497 nt
Filed under: uncultured bacterium
Lineage: Bacteria
Description: partial 16S ribosomal RNA
Rfam family: Bacterial small subunit ribosomal RNA
Source: RNAcentral
GAUGAACGCUGGCGGCGUGCCUAAUACAUGCAAGUCGAGCGAACGGACGAGAAGCUUGCUUCUCUGAUGUUAGCGGCGGACGGGUGAGUAACACGUGGAUAACCUACCUAUAAGACUGGUAUAUCUUCGGGAAACCGGAGCUAAUACCGGAUAAUAUUUUGAACCGCAUGGUUCAAAAGUGAAAGACGGUCUUGCUGGCACUUAUAGAUGGAUCUGCGCUGCAUUAGCUAGUUGGUAAGGUAACGGCUUACCAAGGCAACGAUGCAUAGCCGACCUGAGAGGGGGGUCGGCCACACUGGAGCGUAGACACGGUCCAGACUCCUACGGGAGGCAGCAGUAGGGAAUGUUCCGCAGUGGGCGAGAGCCUGACGGAGCAACGCCGCGUGAGUGGUGAAGGUCUUCGGAUCGUAAAACUCUGUUAUUAGGGAAGAACAUAUGUGUAAGUAACUGUGCACAUCUUGACGGUACCUAAUCAGAAAGCCACGGCUAACUACGUG